GCAGUCGAACGAACUUCCGUUAAUUGAUCAUGACGUGCUUGCACUGAAUGAGAUUUUAACACGAAGUGAGUGGCGGACGGGUGAGUAACACGUGGGUAACCUGCCCAGAAGCAGGGGAUAACACCUGGAAACAGAUGCUAAUACCGUAUAACAGAGAAAACCGCCUGGUUUUCUUUUAAAAGAUGGCUCUGCUAUCACUUCUGGAUGGACCCGCGGCGCAUUAGCUAGUUGGUGAGGUAACGGCUCACCAAGGCGAUGAUGCGUAGCCGACCUGAGAGGGUAAUCGGCCACAUUGGGACUGAGACACGGCCCAGACUCCUACGGGAGGCAGCAGUAGGGAAUCUUCCACAAUGGACGCAAGUCUGAUGGAGCAACGCCGCGUGAGUGAAGAAGGGUUUCGGCUCGUAAAGCUCUGUUGUUAAAGAAGAACGUGGGUGAGAGUAACUGU
This 448-nucleotide ribosomal RNA is filed under the name Pediococcus acidilactici. Its description in RNAcentral is "bacterial SSU rRNA". It matches the Rfam family "Bacterial small subunit ribosomal RNA", at positions 57 to 468 of the family's 1533-position model. The record is from RNAcentral. Lineage: Bacteria; Bacillati; Bacillota; Bacilli; Lactobacillales; Lactobacillaceae.